Molecule: non-coding RNA, 240 nt
Organism: Pelobates cultripes (western spadefoot toad)
Lineage: Eukaryota; Metazoa; Chordata; Amphibia; Anura; Pelobatidae
Source: the annotation of a GenBank genome assembly
UCCCUCUUCAUCUCUUCAUAUAACGCUGACACGCCAACAUUGAAUGGCUAUUGGCUGGUUAAUGCAAAGUACUUCUUUCUUACCUCGUGUGCUUAGCUCAACACAUAGACGUGUGACACAUGCCCUAGACCAAAUAUGAGAGCAACUCUCAAGGACACUCGGGUAUGAAGUGCUGGAACACACACCUGCCCACGCUCAGUGGAACAACCUGUACGAAUGACAGUGCAACGGGAAAAUAGG